This 496-nucleotide ribosomal RNA is filed under the name uncultured bacterium. RNAcentral's name for it is "partial 16S ribosomal RNA". It matches the Rfam family "Bacterial small subunit ribosomal RNA", at positions 28 to 506 of the family's 1533-position model. The record is from RNAcentral.
GAUGAACGCUGGCGGCGUGCCUAAUACAUGCAAGUCGAGCGAACGGACGAGAAGCUUGCUUCUCUGAUGUUAGCGGCGGACGGGUGAGUAACACGUGGAUAACCUACCUAUAAGACUGGGAUAACUUCGGGAAACCGGAGCUAAUACCGGAUAAUAUUUUGAACCGCAUGGUUCAAAAGUGAAAGACGGUCUUGCUGUCACUUAUAGAUGGAUCCGCGCUGCAUUAGCUAGUUGGUAAGGUAACGGCUUACCAAGGCAACGAUGCAUAGCCGACCUGAGAGGGUGAUCGGCCACAAUGGAACUGAGAAACGGUCCAGACUCCUACGGGAGGCAGCAGUAGGGAAUCUUCCGCAAUGGGCGAAAGCCUGACGGAGCAACGCCGCGUGAGUGAUGAAGGUCUUCGGAUCGUAAAACUCUGUUAUUAGGGAAGAACAUAUGUGUAAGUAACUGUGCAAAUCUUGACGGUACCUAAGCAGAAAGCCACGGCUAACUACGU